Molecule: ribosomal RNA, 1572 nt
Filed under: Rhipicephalus microplus (southern cattle tick)
Lineage: Eukaryota; Metazoa; Arthropoda; Arachnida; Ixodida; Ixodidae
Description: SSU rRNA
Rfam family: Eukaryotic small subunit ribosomal RNA
Source: RNAcentral
CCACAGCCGGCGACGUUUCUUUCAAGUGUCUGCCUUAUCAACUUUCGAUGGUAGGUUACUUGCUUACCAUGGUUGUUACGGGUAACGGAGAAUCAGGGUUCGAUUCCGGAGAGGGAGCCUGAGAAACGGCUACCACAUCCAAGGAAGGCAGCAGGCGCGCAAAUUACCCACUCCCGGCACGGGGAGGUAGUGACGAAAAACAAGUAACAAUACGGCGCACUCUUUUGAGCCCCGUAAUCUGAAAUGAGUACACUCUAAACCUUAACGGCUAUCAAUUGGAGCGGCCAAGUUCUUUGCCAGCAGCCGCGGUAAUUCCAGCUUCAAGUAGCGUAUACAAAGCCUAGCUCGCGGUUAAAAAGGCUCGCCUUGUUGGAUCCAGUUCCAGACGACUGAUGCCAUCUACCCGCAUGCGACGGCUCGGACGCAAAACCCCCAUUUCAUGCCGCGUUCUUUCUGGUGCACUCAGUUGUGUGCCUCGCAGAUGCGCCGCUGCUUUUACUUUGAAAAAAUUAGAGUGCUCAACGCAGGCGAGUCGCCUGAAUAAACUUGCAUGGAAUAAUAGAACAAGACCUCGUUUCUGUUCUGUUGGUUUUUGGAAUACGCGGUAAUGAUUAAGAGGGACGGACGGGGGCAUUCGUAUUGCGGCGCUAGAGGUGAAAUAUUCUUGCACCUCGCAAGACGAACUACUGCGCAAAGCAUUUGCCAAGAAUGUUUUCAUUGACAAGAAGCAAAGUCAGAGGUUCGAAGGCGAUCAGAUACCGCCCUAGUUCUGACCAUAAACGAUGCCAACCAGCGAUCCGCCUGAGUUACUCAAAUGACUCGGCGGGCAGCUUCCGGGCGCCAAACCAAAGUUUUGGCGUUCCGGGGGAAGUAUGUUGCAAAGCUGAAACUCUAAAGAAUGACGCGAAGGGCACCAGAGUCGAGCCUGCGGCUUAAUAUUGACUCAACACGGGAAACAUACCCGCCGCCACACUGGGCAGCAGCUUGACAGGUUGAGAGCUCUUUCUUGAUUCGGUGGAUGGUGGUGCAUGGCCGUUCUUAGUUGGUGGAGCGAUUUCUCUCGUUCGUUAAUCGAUAACGAACGAGACUAUAGCCUAUUAAAUACGGUGCGGGUUCCCACACGCUUACAACCCUUUCUUAGAGACAGCACUCCUAGCCCACGGGAAACAGCAGCAAUAACAGGUCUGCUGUGAUGCCCUAGAUUCCGGCCGCACGCCGCGCUACACUGAAGGAAGCAGCGUUGUCUUGUAUCCCGCUCUGAAAAGACUGCCGGUAAAAAAACCCCCCCUUUGGCACUUUCUUUCGUGAUGCGGAUAGGGCGCUUGCAAUGGUCCCUGAGAGGGAAUUCCAGUAAGCCGCGAUCUAAGCCUGCCGUUGAAUACGCCUCCCUGCCCCCUUUGUACACACCGCCCGCUCAGUACUACGCAUUGAAUCGAUUGUAGUGAGCGUCUUCGCCGACCAUGUCCGCGCCGCGCCUUUCCGGUUGCCGGGUCUGUUGCGAAAGAUGACCAAACUUGAUCAUUUGAGGCAAGUAAAAGUCGUACGAAGGUUCCGUAGGUGAACCUGCGAAGG